UUUCCUGUUUCUCCAGGAUAUGGGCAUCACAAGAUGUGGAUGGUUGCAAGAACUGUGGCAAGGUUAACGUAAGCUUCACUCUGCCUUCGGAAUUCCAUCUUGUGUUACACAGAUCUGUGAAGUUGCCUGUGGAGACUUAGGAAACUUGGAACAUUUUCAGUUUCACUUGAAAAAUGUGCUACUAUUCUUCAAUCCAUUGACCUACGGAGGAAAGUAGUGAUGAAUGGAGAGGCAAGAUGAAUGAGUUGCUCACCCAUCCUUAAAAACCAACAAUAAACUCCGAGGUUCUUGGCAAAGCUGUAGAAUUCUUGGACUCCUUAAAUUUGAUCUCGAGAGUCACUGAACUUCCUGAAUUCUUCCUUCAGCACAAGAAAGAGGCCGUGAGAGCACUGAUGCGGUGUAUUUGAUAGCGGGCAACUGCGGUCUUGGAGAGGUCAGCCAGCCAUUCUCGCCCUAAGGCUAUAUACUUAAGGCAGUCCAAUUUUCAAACAUCUCCAGAGAUUGAGUGAAUUUAGCCAUAUUCCCUCAGGAGCCCAUUGUAACAUUUCACCUUUUCCCUUUUAAGAUGUUUUUCUGCUUUAUAACUUAAAUAGAAUGAAAAGGCUUAUCAUGAAAGUCUUUCCUUUUUCCUUUUGUGGACUUCCAUGGAUAUUUAGAAAACUGAUCAGAGAGUGAAAAACAAAGCAUCGUGAAGUUCAUUGUCAUUUUCUUUUCUCAAGGUUGGCUGAAUGGUGUUUCAAUUUUAUUUAAAAAUCUUUCUCUGUGAAUAUCAUUCCUGUAACUGUUCUCUGAUGAUUUCUCCAAGGAAAAGAGGAAAUAAACUCUACUUAUACUGUCUCAAGAUUGUCUUUCCACCCUGAUAACCCUUGCAUAUACUUUUCUUUGUCUGCCAGAGACUUCCAUGAACACCAUCUCCUAGGGAUUGUAUUAAGUGGAUCCUUUAAUUGGAACACUGGAAUGAUUAAGUUCUAAGACCAUUUCCAAUAUAAGGUUUAUAUUAUUGGGUGAAUCCUGUGUCCCUAGUUUAUGCACAUCUGUGUAAAGU
Long non-coding RNA from Bubalus bubalis (water buffalo), 1045 nucleotides. RefSeq lists it as uncharacterized. Lineage: Eukaryota; Metazoa; Chordata; Mammalia; Artiodactyla; Bovidae. The record is from RefSeq and is a predicted model, not a curated record. The transcript is spliced from 3 exons.